RNAcentral lists this ribosomal RNA (119 nucleotides) under Oncorhynchus mykiss (rainbow trout). The record is from RNAcentral. Lineage: Eukaryota; Metazoa; Chordata; Actinopteri; Salmoniformes; Salmonidae.
ACUUACGGCCAUACCAGCCUGAAUACGCCCGAUCUCGUCCGAUCUCGGAAGCUAAGCAGGGUCGGGCCUGGUUAGUACUUGGAUGGGAGACCGCCUGGGAAUACCAGGUGCUGUAAGCG